RNAcentral lists this unclassified non-coding RNA (200 nucleotides) under soil metagenome. RNAcentral's name for it is "partial contains internal transcribed spacer 2 and large subunit ribosomal RNA". The record is from RNAcentral.
UAAAGACCACUCAAGCGAUUUUGCUUGGUAUUGGAAGAAGAGUGCCUCUGGCCCUCCCUUCCGAAAUUCAAUGGCGGAAAGUCUCACGUGCCCCGGCGUAGUAAGUUUAUCUUUCGCUUGGACCAUGAGGCGUUCUCGCCCUCAAAUCCCCAAUACUAUAGGUUGACCUCGGAUCAGGUAGGGAUACCCGCUGAACUUAA